Hirundo rustica (Barn swallow) is the source of this 750-nucleotide long non-coding RNA. RefSeq lists it as uncharacterized. The transcript has 5 exons. The record is from RefSeq and is a predicted model, not a curated record. NCBI's taxonomy places the organism in Eukaryota, Metazoa, Chordata, Aves, Passeriformes, Hirundinidae.
CGCCCCGCCCGGGAGGAGACAGAGCCGCGAUGCGUACAAAAGAACGGGCGCGCGACAACGUCCCUUUUGCGGGGUAUCCUGGAAAGCUACGCGAAAUUUUUCAAAGAAGAAAGCUGUUUCUAUCCAAGCAGGAACAUCCAACUUCAAAAUAAACACUAAGUGUAGAGGUUUUUAACUGAGGGUCCUGUGUUGGUACUUGAGACCCUAUACAAGCCUUUGAGCAAGGACUCCUAGAAGUGAGCAACACAUUGAAGAGAAGUAAGCAAGCAAGAUCAGAAACUGAACCAUGGAACUCAUGCCUCCUUUAAGGCAAAGAAGACUGUAGGCUUUUUCUGUUGAGUUUGUACUUGUAUUGGACACCUAGCCCAUGGUUAAACCCAAAGACUGUGGUAAAUACUGCAAUGGAUUCGGUUCCACACAGAAUGCUGGAAGGAAAAAGAAGUGAAGAAAUAAACUUCUCAUUAAUUUCCUGAGACUAUUUUUUCUGUUGAGAAGCAUGAAAUUAUACUGUAGCAUCAUCUUCUAUGUAUGGAAGGACAGAAUGAUUUCCUGUGGCAUCACUUUACUGUUGUUGACUGAAAGAAUGGGAAUAAAUUAUCACAGCAAAUAGACAGUGCAAUAGUCUUUCUGAUGAGAAACUUCAGUUGCUGAAAACAUUGGGAAUCUGCAAUUCUUUGUCAUAGGACUUAAACUCAUCUAACUUUUGAAAUAUGUUUUCUGCACUAGUUCUGCUGAAUCUGGACUGAAGAG